RNAcentral lists this long non-coding RNA (3664 nucleotides) under Mus musculus (house mouse). Its description in RNAcentral is "long non-coding RNA chr11:80390273-80393937". Lineage: Eukaryota; Metazoa; Chordata; Mammalia; Rodentia; Muridae. The record is from RNAcentral.
AUUGAAUAUGAGGCAGACUAUUUUACACAUAGGUUUAAGACAGCCUCUGGACUACAUAGAUUCCAUCACAAAAGGGAAAAUUUUUUCUAAGUGUGCAAAUGCUUUCUUGAGCUAUCAUUAUAUAGUGAGACCCAAUAAUAAGAGAAAAUAUCUAUAAUCUAUUCCUAAUAGCUAUAGAUGUAAAAAUAAAUAUCUGUAUUCUACAUAGAAUAUCUAUACUCUGCCUUCAUGCUUUUUAUUAUAGAAGGUAAUAACAUUUUCAUCUAAUUAGGAUAUAUGUGUGUGUGUAUGUGUGUGUAUAUGCUAAAUUCUGAUAAAUAUACCUCAGUGGUAGAUUUCAUGAAUAACGUGCAUCAGGCACUGUUAUAUACCCAACACCAAAAAAAAAAAGCCACCAAAGCACAAAUUAAGUUCACAUACUUGUAAUCUAAUCUAAUAUAUUGAAGUAAAUUGGACACUGAAUGAUCUUUGAAGGUGAGCCUUUUUUUUUUUAAAAAGGGGAAACUAUGAAGGGUUAUGUUUUUAAGUCAUGGUUUAUUGUUAGGAAGUAAAAGUUUAUGUAUUCUGAGCUUAUAUUCACUAAUAUUGGUGAUGUUUUUUCCUUGUUCAUCCCAGACUGAAAGUUUUACUCCAUAGUGGACAACUCAAAUAGAAAUGUUUCUAUUUAUGUUCCAUGUGCAUAUUUUUCAAGUGGAGCAAAAACUUUCCAGUUAACAUACUUAUUAGAUGGGGCCUCCUUUGUAUAUUCCCAAGAAUACUGUUGGAUCUCAGUGACCUUGGUUUGUCAUUGGGGUUCCCCCCCCCCCCCCCCCAGGGUUCCCCUCUAUCCAUCCCACUCUGCCUCUUUUAAUGGUAAACUGAAGAGUUUAUAGAUGUUUGUUAUGGUAGAAUUGUAUUUUUGUGGCUUGAUUGAUUGAUUUGAUUUUAGUAUUUAAGAUAGUCAAGUUUUUUAUUUAGUGUUUUGUAAUUGCCAAUAAUAUUUUGUGUGUGUGUGUGAUUAAUGCUGCUAGUUAAUAUUUUUUGUUUUUAUUUUUUCCUUAAAUUUUGCUUUUAAUAGAAUGAUGCCAAUGGGUGGAAUGAUGCCACCUGGACCUGGAAUACCACCUCUGAUGCCAGGUAUGCCACCAGGUAUGUAUGAAGUGUUAAACAAUUGCUUUUGUAAUGUGUCUGAUAGCAUUCCUAAGUUUAAAAUUCUAUUACAUGUUGAAAGAAGAUUGGUGAAUGGGUGGGGUGUGAUGCCAUGUAGCAUCAAUACCUUCACUUUAAUUCUAGCAGAGAGACAGGCUGGUAUCUAGAGCUCCAGAUAGACUAUUCACAGUUGGCUCCAAGCCAGCUAGGGCUAUGUGAUGAGAUCCUACCUCAAAAACCAAAGUUGGACAAACCAGUGAUAAUCAGUAAGAUUAUAGGUGGAGUCUAGGGACACUGGUUUGCACUUAAGAUUCUAAAGUUGUAAAAUGAAGAGACAGUUUGAAGAACUAUAGUGAGGAACAAAUAUAAUAAAGAAUUGAUUUCAUGUGAACGAGAUUUUUUUUUAUAUUCUUGGGAAUCAUUUUUGCUGCAGGUAUGCCCCCACCUGUUCCACGUCCUGGAAUUCCUCCAAUGACUCAAGCACAGGCUGUUUCAGCACCAGGUAUUCUUAAUAGACCACCUGCACCAACAGCAGCAGUACCUGCUCCACAGCCUCCAGUUACUAAGCCUCUUUUCCCCAGUGCUGGACAGGUAAGGUGAAAUUCUUGAAAAGGAGUAUAUUGUAUGUUUAAGGUAAAAUGGCUUGUUCACAGAUAACCUUGAAAUUGUUAGAUUAUGUGAUCUAUUAAAAUAGAGCCUAUCAUUUGCUAUAUUUAUACUUUGAUUUCCUCUGUUCACAGCAGGUAGAAAGGAAUCAGAUAUUUUUCCAAAGAUGUGGAUUCUUUAGCUGUCGCUAGAUGUGAGAGUCGAAUUUCUGAGGACUUAUGUAACUGAUGUUUCCAGGUCCUCCUCUCUUGUUGAAGGGAGUGGAAUUAGGUUGGAGCCAACAAUAAGACCUUAGGCAUGGUGGUAGUGGCACAUGGCCUUUUAACACAGCUUUCAAGAGCAGAGUCAGGUGAAUCUUUUGAAUUAAAGGCUUUUGGGAAGUCAGUGGCUACAUAGAACUCCCGUGAAAAUCAAAAAAGAAUACAGCAAGACAUUUGGCGGGUGUUUGUUCUCAUUUACAACCGCAGUAAAUUGCAGUGCUACACUUGAGUUGGAAGUCAUUAUUUAAUGACUUUUAAUAUUGCUAUUUGCUUCCAUCAAUUUCUAGAAGAUGAGUGGGCUAGAUAUAUGAUGGCCAAAUUUUCUUACAUGUCAUUUAGAAUUAAGUAUAUGUAUUUAAAAAAGGAUCAAGGUUUGUUUGUUUUUUAAAUGCUUAACCCUUAGAUUUUUCACUUGUUUCUGGGUGCUUAAUUUUAGUUGCCUAAAUUCUUGUGUUAAUGGAAGUUUUAUUUAUGGAUAUGUUAAACUUUUAUCAGAAUCUGUAGGCUCAUUGUAUAGGGCAUUUGCAUAGAGAACUGUCAUUUGGAGUUUAUGUUAAGAUUCUUGAACUAAUGCAAUCUCCAACAUUAAGUCUAGAAACUUAUGUUUAACUAGUUGUAUUGGUGUAGAGAUACUUUUUUGAGGCAUAUACUUUUUUCUGUCAAUUGAAAAGUACAUUAACUGCCUCUUUAAAUGACAUUUGAUUGCAUUACAAUCUGCAUUUAUAAACAAUGCAAUCUAUACUAAAAAGUGCCACAUGGCAUGUUUUACCCAUUUGUUCGGAGACGGUUCAUUGUUUCCUUUCUUUUAUGCUACAGAUGGGGACACCUGUAACAAGCUCAAGUACAGCUUCAUCCAAUUCAGAAAGUCUGUCUGCAUCUUCUAAAGCUCUGUUUCCUAGCACAGCACAAGUACGCAGGAAGUUGCAGUUUAAAAUUGUUAAAAUGGCUUUACAACUUAACCCUUUGGACCCUUUAUGAAAGCUAAUCUUACCAAUAUAUUUAGGUUUUUUUUUUUAGAAGUAAAACAAAUACUACAACUCAUCCUGUUUGCAAAUUUGAAUUCAUAUUAAUGAUUCCAACAAAGUAACUCUAAACUUCUGUGGCUCUAAAGGGUUAAAAGCAUGUGAGCAGUAAUGAACUAUAGUGGCCAAUGGUUAGCCUUGAUGCAUGGUUAAGCUACUUUUGAUUAAUGCUGUUUAAUGCGUCACAUCUUUAUGUAAGAAAGUUAGCACUCUGCAUUUGUUUCUAAGGUUGAUCUAGUUAACAUUUUAAACACUUGUAUCAUGAAAGUAAUAUGUGCUACUGUUAACUUUAUUUAGAACCUGUGCCAUUAACCCUUUUGUCUAUACUGUGUUCUAGUCCUUACUAAUUGGAGGGUAGUGUGCUGCUCUCUGUAGAACACUUGCGUAGUUGGUGACAAUGAUGAGUCACUAUUACCGGGAGGUUUUUAAUGCUUACAAAGGGGUUUAUUAUCCCAGCCUAUAGCUUCAAUUUUUUGAGCUGCUUAAAAGAUGAAUUAUUAGCCAGGUGUGGUGGCGCACGCCUUUGAUCCCAGCACUUGGGAGGCAGAGGCAGCUGGAUUUCUGAGUUUGAGGCCAGCCUGGUCUACAAAGUUCCAGGACAGCCAGGGCUACAGAGAAACCCUGUCUCCAAAACCCCCCCCCCCCCCC